CUGAAACUUUCCCCGCUGGGUGUUGGCGUGGUGCUCAGCUCCGAGAGCUCCCUGAGAUCUCUGUCUCUCUGCCUGUCUCUGUGGCUCUCUCUCCCCUGCCCUCACUGCGUACCCCACCUCCAGCUCUCCAUUCCCAGACCCGCCCGCUUGGCAUCCUGUUGUCUGCCAGAGAGCCCUGCCCCACAGCCUGCAUGGACCCCUCCUGCCUUUCAAGACUUACUCUGUCUUGCUGUACCCGCCGAGAGCCCCUGUUCUCCCCACCCCUACCCUGCAAGCGCCGUGUGGCAGAAGAAAGCCUGAAACCAGCCAAAAAGAAAAUAAAAUCCCUGGUGAGAGUGGCUGGGCCUCUUUUGCCUUCCCUCAGGCCUGCACGUGAUGGGAGUGGUGGCAGAGGAGAGGCUGGGGCGGCCAUGGGAGCAUGGAGGUCAGUCACCCUGGCCACAGCCAAAGGCAGGGGGAUCCCCGAGCCUGGGAGGUCUGAUAUCAUCGGCUGGCUGCCGCGUUUGCUUCCCAGGAGGGAGGAGCGCAGAUACUGACAGUGACAGAACCCUCUAUCUUGCUGGGAUUCUUUCCCUCCAGCCUUGAGCUCUGGAAGUGAGAGGCUGCUCACCGGCGCUCAGUGGUCUUGGAGCCUAAAAGUUCUCAAACAAGGACUUCACACAGCCCCUGGCAUUCUCUUCUCGACUUAUUUAGAACGGAACCAAAAAAGAAAAUUUUUAAAAUCUAUUUCAGAGUUUGUACUUCUGUGCCCAGCGUGACAGCGAUUCACUUCUGAAGGAUCAGAGGUCCGAUUGAAUCCUAGAAGGACCCACAGAACCUACAGAGCAGCCAGGUGAUGAUACAGAACUCAAGAGAGUGACAUUUCCUGGUGAUCUCGGGAAGUGAAGCGGUGGGGCAAUGAAUCAUCAGCCCCACCCUGCCACUCAGGAACGAGGAGGAGCUCGCAGCAGUCAACACAAAGGGCCCUUUGCUAGAGGAUAAACUGUGCCAUUAUUAUCUUUUGUGAGCACACAUGCAAUAGUUCCUUAGCAGUGAGCACCACAGUAAAUACGCAAGGAGUGAUGUUCCACUUCGUGCAUUAUUUCCUCCUUCCCAUUACUGCAUUGAGAAUGUGUUGUUAAAAUUUCUAGUCCACCAAACUGGAUUAUAAUUUUUUUAAAAAAGGAAAACAAUGAGAAUGAAUGUGGUAGUAGCACAAAUGAUGGCUUGUGGUGAUCAAAAGAUGACAACCUCAGACAUCACUCUACUACUGUUAUGCCCGAUAAAAUUGAUUUUAUGGUUCUGUUUGUGUUCACACUGAAGAUUUAUUUUAGUUUUAUGAUUGCUUGAUAAGCUAAGAGCAUGAGAAACUCAUGUGUAAUUUUAGAUUUAGACUUUCAGUAAAAACAAAAUAAAAAUAAUGUGA
Heterocephalus glaber (naked mole-rat) is the source of this 1405-nucleotide non-coding RNA. NCBI's taxonomy places the organism in Eukaryota, Metazoa, Chordata, Mammalia, Rodentia, Bathyergidae. The record is from RefSeq and is a predicted model, not a curated record.